RNAcentral lists this ribosomal RNA (397 nucleotides) under uncultured bacterium. RNAcentral describes it as "partial 16S ribosomal RNA". It matches the Rfam family "Bacterial small subunit ribosomal RNA", at positions 523 to 918 of the family's 1533-position model. The record is from RNAcentral.
AUACGUAGGUGACAAGCGUUAUCCGGAUUUACUGGGCGUAAAGGGCGUGUAGGCGGUCUUACAAGUCAGAAGUGAAAUUCCUGAGCUCAACUCGGGCGCUGCUUCUGACACUGCAGGACUUGAGUGCUGGAGGGGAUAGCGGAAUUCCUAGUGGAGCGGUAAAAUGCGCAGAUAUUAGGAAGAACACCGGUGGCGAAGGCGGGUAACUGGACUGCAACUGACGCUGAGGCGCGAAAGUGUGGGGAGCAAACAGGAUUAGAUACCCUGGUAGUCCACACUGUAAACGAUGAAUGCUAGGUGUAAGAGGUAUCGACCCCUUUUGUGCCGGAGUUAACACAAUAAGCAUUCCGCCUGGGGAGUACGGCCGCAAGGUUGAAACUCAAAUGAAUCGGCGGGG